RNAcentral lists this ribosomal RNA (407 nucleotides) under uncultured bacterium. RNAcentral's name for it is "partial 16S ribosomal RNA". It matches the Rfam family "Bacterial small subunit ribosomal RNA", at positions 30 to 526 of the family's 1533-position model. The record is from RNAcentral.
AUUGAACGCUGGCGGCAGGCCUAACACAUGCAAGUCGAGCGGAGUGGCGAACGGGUGAGUAAUGCCUAGGAACCUGCCUGGUAGUGGGGGAUAACUUCGCGAAACGGGAGCUAAUACCGCAUACUAUUAGAUGAGCCGAGGUCGGAUUAGCUAGUUGGUGGGGUAAAGGCCUACCAAGGCGACGAUCCGUAGCUGGUCUGAGAGGAUGACCAGUCACACUGGAACUGAGACACGGUCCAGACUCCUACGGGAGGCAGCAGUGGGGAAUAUUGGACAAUGGGCGAAAGCCUGAUCCAGCCAUGCCGCGUGUGUGAAGAAGGCCUUCGGAUUGUAAAGCACUUUAAGUUGGGAGGCGUUACCAACAGAAUAAGCACCGGCUAACUUCGUGCCAGCCGCCGCGGUAAUUC